CCCCUAGAACCUGGCAAAGUAAC
RNAcentral lists this small RNA (23 nucleotides) under Arabidopsis thaliana (thale cress). RNAcentral's name for it is "mttB". Lineage: Eukaryota; Viridiplantae; Streptophyta; Magnoliopsida; Brassicales; Brassicaceae. The record is from RNAcentral.